Molecule: ribosomal RNA, 255 nt
Filed under: uncultured bacterium
Lineage: Bacteria
Description: partial 16S ribosomal RNA
Rfam family: Bacterial small subunit ribosomal RNA
Source: RNAcentral
UACGAAGGGGGGCUAGCGUUGCUCGGAAUGACUGGGCGUAAAGGGCGCGUAGGCGGAUGACACAGUCAGGCGUGAAAUUCCUGGGCUCAACCUGGGGGGCUGCGUUUGAUACAUGUUGUCUGGAGUUCGGAAGAGGGUCGUGGAAUUCCCAGUGUAGAGGUGAAAUUCGUAGAUAUUGGGAAGAACACCGGUGGCGAAGGCGGCGACCUGGUCCGAUACUGACGCUGAGGCGCGAAAGCGUGGGGAGCAAACAGG